Molecule: ribosomal RNA, 467 nt
Filed under: uncultured bacterium
Lineage: Bacteria
Description: partial 16S ribosomal RNA
Rfam family: Bacterial small subunit ribosomal RNA
Source: RNAcentral
GACGAACGCUGGCGGCGUGCUUAACACAUGCAAGUCGAACGGAAGGGCCCUGCUUUUGUGGGGUGCUCGAGUGGCGAACGGGUGAGUAACACGUGAGUAACCUGCCCUUGACUUUGGGAUACUUCAGGAAACUGGGGCUAAUACCGGAUAGGAGCUCCUGCUGCAUGGUGGGGGUUGGAAAGUUUCGGCGGUUGGGGAUGGACUCGCGGCUUAUCAGCUUGUUGGUGGGGUAGUGGCUUACCAAGGCUUUGACGGGUAGCCGGCCUGAGAGGGUGACCGGCCACAUUGGGACUGAGAUACGGCCCAGACUCCUACGGGAGGCAGCAGUGGGGAAUAUUGCACAAUGGGCGGAAGCCUGAUGCAGCAACGCCGCGUGCGGGAUGACGGCCUUCGGGUUGUAAACCGCUUUCGCCUGUGACGAAGCGUGAGUGACGGUAAUGGGUAAAGAAGCACCGGCUAACUACGUG